UUUUUAUAAGUAAAAUCCUAACCAAUAGGAUCUCUUAAAUAAACAAUCUGAAAAUCAAUUCCAAUUGCUGUAGGAUUCUGCUAACGGAACAAAUCUGAUAGGAGUUUGAUUUGUAGUAGGAUUCUGCGGACGGGCUCUGUCUGUUAGGAUUU
Juglans microcarpa x Juglans regia is the source of this 152-nucleotide long non-coding RNA. RefSeq lists it as uncharacterized. Lineage: Eukaryota; Viridiplantae; Streptophyta; Magnoliopsida; Fagales; Juglandaceae. The record is from RefSeq and is a predicted model, not a curated record. The transcript has 3 exons.